RNAcentral lists this ribosomal RNA (253 nucleotides) under uncultured bacterium. RNAcentral describes it as "partial 16S ribosomal RNA". It matches the Rfam family "Bacterial small subunit ribosomal RNA", at positions 524 to 776 of the family's 1533-position model. The record is from RNAcentral.
UACGUAGGGUGCAAGCGUUGUCCGGAAUUAUUGGGCGUAAAGAGCUCGUAGGCGGUUUGUUGCGUCGGCUGUGAAAUCCCGAGGCUCAACCUCGGGUCUGCAGUCGAUACGAGCAAACUAGAGUGUUGCAGGGGAGACUGGAAUUCCUGGUGUAGCGGUGAAAUGCGCAGAUAUCAGGAGGAACACCAGAGGCGAAGGCGGCCUACUGGGCUGCACCUGACGCUGAGCCGCGAAAGCCAGGGGAGCGAACGGG